RNA transcript from Osmia bicornis bicornis, 559 nucleotides. RefSeq lists it as uncharacterized. NCBI's taxonomy places the organism in Eukaryota, Metazoa, Arthropoda, Insecta, Hymenoptera, Megachilidae. The transcript is spliced from 3 exons. The record is from RefSeq and is a predicted model, not a curated record.
UUACCAUUUUCUGGCCUGUAAAUGGCCCAGGAAGCGACGUAACAGACUAUGGCCUUGUUACGUUUUGGCCUUGUCGAAGCUUGCAAAAAGAAGCGGAACGUAUUCAACAUGAAUCAUCCGGUGAACAUUCGUAAGAUACAAAAUUACUCGGAGCAUCCAUUCUUGUUGGCAGUAUUACUGUGACUGUAAUGUGACUCAAUCUUUAGGUGACUCAAUCCAAGAUAAAGUACAAUUUAAGUUUCGUCAAAAUGUCAGAUUAGCAUUGCAGUCUACAAAAGAAAAUGUCAAACGCAUUCCAUACUUUCUUUUAUUCUACAUCAAGCAUUAUGCGAGGAUGCAAAUAUUUUUACAAGGAAUUGUAAAAAAGUGUAGAUAUUUGAAUACAACAGAGGUAUAUUUUUUAAAUCGAAUUUAAAUUCCAGAAAUUGUAAAAAGUACUUUUUUUUUUAGUAUUUUUCUAUUGUUUUCAAUAUUACAGAGUACAUUUAUAAGGCAUAUUUUAAAUUUAAUUGUACGCUGUAAUAGUCGUGUUAAACAAAUUAUAGUGGUUUGAUUAUAA